UGGCUCAGUGGUUAAGAGCACUGGCUGCUCUUCCAGAGGACUGGGUUCAAUUCCCAG
RNAcentral lists this transfer RNA (57 nucleotides) under Neotoma lepida (desert woodrat). It matches the Rfam family "tRNA", at positions 8 to 63 of the family's 71-position model. Rfam says of the family: Transfer RNA (tRNA) molecules are approximately 80 nucleotides in length. Their secondary structure includes four short double-helical elements and three loops (D, anti-codon, and T loops). Further hydrogen bonds mediate the characteristic L-shaped molecular structure. tRNAs have two regions of fundamental functional importance: the anti-codon, which is responsible for specific mRNA codon recognition, and the 3' end, to which the tRNAs corresponding amino acid is attached (by aminoacyl-tRNA synthetases). tRNAs cope with the degeneracy of the genetic code in two manners: having more than one tRNA (with a specific anti-codon) for a particular amino acid; and 'wobble' base-pairing, i.e. permitting non-standard base-pairing at the 3rd anti-codon position. Lineage: Eukaryota; Metazoa; Chordata; Mammalia; Rodentia; Cricetidae. The record is from Rfam by way of RNAcentral.